UGGAUCGAUGAUGACCACUGGUGGCGUAUGAGUCGGAUACGAUGAAUACGUGUCUGGAACUCUGAGGUCCAA
Molecule: small nucleolar RNA, 72 nt
Organism: Ailuropoda melanoleuca (giant panda)
Lineage: Eukaryota; Metazoa; Chordata; Mammalia; Carnivora; Ursidae
Source: Ensembl